UACGGAGGGUGCAAGCGUUAUCCGGAUUCACUGGGUUUAAAGGGUGCGUAGGAGGGCAGGGAAGUCAGUGGUGAAAUCUCCGGGCUUAACUCGGAAACUGCCGUUGAUACUCUCUGUCUUGAAUCCCGUGGAGGUGAGCGGAAUAUGUCAUGUAGCGGUGAAAUGCUUAGAUAUGACAUAGAACACCAAUUGCGAAGGCAGCUCGCUACACGAAGAUUGACUCUGAGGCACGAAAGCGUGGGGAGCAAACAGG
Molecule: ribosomal RNA, 253 nt
Filed under: uncultured Flavisolibacter sp.
Lineage: Bacteria; Pseudomonadati; Bacteroidota; Chitinophagia; Chitinophagales; Chitinophagaceae
Description: partial 16S ribosomal RNA
Rfam family: Bacterial small subunit ribosomal RNA
Source: RNAcentral